Molecule: ribosomal RNA, 627 nt
Filed under: Enterococcus faecium
Lineage: Bacteria; Bacillati; Bacillota; Bacilli; Lactobacillales; Enterococcaceae
Description: bacterial SSU rRNA
Rfam family: Bacterial small subunit ribosomal RNA
Source: RNAcentral
UUUUAUGAGAGUUUGAUCCUGGCUCAGGACGAACGCUGGCGGCGUGCCUAAUACAUGCAAGUCGAACGCUUCUUUUUCCACCGGAGCUUGCUCCACCGGAAAAAGAGGAGUGGCGAACGGGUGAGUAACACGUGGGUAACCUGCCCAUCAGAAGGGGAUAACACUUGGAAACAGGUGCUAAUACCGUAUAACAAUCGAAACCGCAUGGUUUUGAUUUGAAAGGCGCUUUCGGGUGUCGCUGAUGGAUGGACCCGCGGUGCAUUAGCUAGUUGGUGAGGUAACGGCUCACCAAGGCCACGAUGCAUAGCCGACCUGAGAGGGUGAUCGGCCACAUUGGGACUGAGACACGGCCCAAACUCCUACGGGAGGCAGCAGUAGGGAAUCUUCGGCAAUGGACGAAAGUCUGACCGAGCAACGCCGCGUGAGUGAAGAAGGUUUUCGGAUCGUAAAACUCUGUUGUUAGAGAAGAACAAGGAUGAGAGUAACUGUUCAUCCCUUGACGGUAUCUAACCAGAAAGCCACGGCUAACUACGUGCCAGCAGCCGCGGUAAUACGUAGGUGGCAAGCGUUGUCCGGAUUUAUUUGGCGGAAAGCGAGCGCAGGCGGUUUCUUAAGGCUGAUGUGAAA